CGGUUGAUCCUGCCGGACCCGACUGCUAUUUGGGUGAGGAUAAGCCAUGCGAGUCGAAUGGGAUACCUAAAUUUCCCAUGGCGAACUGCUCAGUAACACAUGAUCAACUUAACCUAUUGAGAAAGAUAACCUCGGGAAACUGAGGAUAAUAUUUCAUAGUUGAAUUGGCUUGGAAAAGUUUUUCAACAAAAGGGAUAGGGAAAAUGGUCUCUAUCCGCUAUAGGAUAGGAUCGUGUUCGAUUAUGGUAGUUGGUGAGGUAACGGCUCACCAAGCCGAUAAUCGAUAGGGGCCGUGAGAGCGGGAGCCCCGAGAUGGGUACUGAGACAACGACCCAGGCCUUACGAGGCGCAGCAGGUACGAAACCUCCACAAUACACGAAAGUGUGAUGGGGUUACCCAAAGUGUUCAUUAUUGAACUGUGGUAGGAGAGUAAUGUCCCCUACUAGAAAGGAGAGGGCAAGGCUGGUGCCAGCCGCCGCGGUAAAACCAGCUCUUCAAGUGGUCGGGAUAAUUAUUGGGCUUAAAGUGUCCGUAGCCGGUUUAGUAAGUUCCUGNUNNNUCGGGUAGCUUAACUAUCUGUAUGCUAGGAAUACUGCUAUACUAGAGGGCGGGAGAGGUCUGAGGUACUACAGGGGUAGGGGUGAAAUCUUAUAAUCCUUGUAGGACCACCAGUGGCNAAAGGNGUCAGACUGGNANNGCGCCUGACGGUGAGGGACGAAAGCCAGGGGAGCGAACCGGAUUANAUACCCGGGUAGUCCUGGCCGUAAACGAUGCAUACUAGNNGANGGUAUGGCUAUGAGCCAUAUCAGUGCCGUAGGGAAACCGU
RNAcentral lists this ribosomal RNA (826 nucleotides) under uncultured archaeon. RNAcentral's name for it is "bacterial SSU rRNA". It matches the Rfam family "Archaeal small subunit ribosomal RNA", at positions 5 to 815 of the family's 1478-position model. The record is from RNAcentral.